Molecule: ribosomal RNA, 249 nt
Filed under: uncultured bacterium
Lineage: Bacteria
Description: partial 16S ribosomal RNA
Rfam family: Bacterial small subunit ribosomal RNA
Source: RNAcentral
UACGUAGGGGCAAGCGUUGUCCGGAAUUAUUGGGCGUAAAGCGCGUGUAGGCGGCUCGGUAAGUCUGCUGUGAAAGUCCAGGGCUCAACCCUGGAAUGCCGGUGGAUACUGUCGAGCUCGAGUCCGGAAGAGGCGAGUGGAAUUCCUGGUGUAGCGGUGAAAUGCGCAGAUAUCAGGAGGAACACCAAUGGCGAAGGCAGCUCGCUGGACGGUACUGACGCUGGAGGAGCGAAGCGUGGGAGCAAACAG